This 3022-nucleotide long non-coding RNA is filed under the name Polistes dominula (European paper wasp). RNAcentral's name for it is "uncharacterized LOC107066454, transcript variant X6". Lineage: Eukaryota; Metazoa; Arthropoda; Insecta; Hymenoptera; Vespidae. The record is from RNAcentral.
CUAGGACAAAAUCAACAUGGCUACAUGUCAAUGUACUUUGAAUACCGUAAAUACAGGCUACGUGUAUUUGAUCGCCAAUUUUGAAUGAAAAUAGUUAAAUUGGAUGAAUUGCUGUGGGACAGUGUUAUGUCAUAACCUAAGAAAAAUAAUUUUCUAAAUUAAAUCUGAGAAUACAGAUGAAUUUCAGACGUUCUCUUUAUCAAAUUAUUAUAACAAAUACUAAUAAGUAUGCAGAUCUAUAUUUUUAAUUCCAAUCCAAGAACGUUAUACUCAAGAGAAGAAGAGUUAAUUAUACCAUUUGAUCAAUGGAUAUAUAUUUCAUUUUCUUACGGCUAACGAUUAGAAGAUUUGUAUUGAUUAAGUCAUCCUAACAAGAGUUUUAUUCUAUAAUAUUAUGUAAAUAGAAUGUAGCUGCAGUAACAAAGAAUAAUCAAGACAAGAAUCUGUCAAAAGGGGAGGUAAAUUGGAAGUGUCUACUCAUUACUAUCAAGAAUGAUAAGAAGAAUCUAACAAUACUGCAGCAAUGCAGCAAAAAGCAUCAAAGCAUCAAAAAGAUUUUUGAAUGCAUUGUUUUUAUUAUAUUUACAUUUGGAAGAAACCUUAUGCAGCAAUAUUCUAUCAAAAAAAUACCAGAAGAAAUGCAUCCUAGUUAUCAAAAAUUAAGAAAACAAACGAGAUGCAAUGUGAAUUAUUAUGCGAAUAGAAUGCAGCUGCAGUGUCAAGAAAUAAUCAAAAUUAUUAAUUGAAAAAAGGUUAAUGUAAUAAACUGUAUUACAUUAUUUGUAUUUAUAGAAAACGAAUAUUAUAUCAUUCUUAAGGGGUUAUACGCAGUUGCGAGGCUCAAAAAAGACGUCUUUUUAUGAAUUUUUUAUAGAAACAGUUUUUAUUUAUCAAUAACAAGUGAUGGUUAUUCAAAUAGAUCCUACUUUUAAGAAUACAGUAGCGCGUCGAUCAUGUAAAAAUAUUGAUGUGCACCGCUUCUGUAGAUGAUGUCUCGAACGACCUCCAAAAAAAGGCGUUUAGCGAUGAUUUCUAUUUCGGCAGUUUGGAUUAUCUGAAAUCAACAUAUGUGGUGGAUUCUUUUAAAGGAUAGAUUAAUGCAGAGCCAUAAGAGGGACCUUCUGCAGUAUUGGUAGCUUCUAAUAAGUCCAGCAUGGUGUGGUCGUCGAGCCAUUUUUCCUUCUCGCGUGCUCCCAUGCGCUCUCGCGUCGAAGAUCAUCACACGCUCUGCAUCCUUUUUGUCGACAUAAGCAUGAGCUGCGGUGCCUAAUAAACGUCCUAAUGCACACAUAAAGUACAAUAAUGAUUUUGUACCUUCAUUGAACAUUCCAGCUGCAAUGUAAGCCGCUAUUUCAACAACUUUAGAGCCACAUGGAACAAUUUUUGGAGUUAUUUUUCAUAUUAACUGAUUAUAACUCUCAUUAUUGUUUUGUGUAAAUCCACCCACACACCUUUCCAAUAAUUUUACGUUGCUAAGGUCUUCAUAAAUUGAAUAUUUAGCUUCAGCAACAUCAGCUGGUAAAGUUGGAUAAUCAUGGGUGUAAGAAGAUAAUGUUUCUGUUGCUAACUCUUGCUGCCAACUACACCAUGAACCUUCUCCACCUGGGCACAUUUCGUGUUGAGGCUUCUCAUCAGUCGAACAAUAGUAAUAAUAUGUUCCCCAAAUUGCAUUAUACAUAUUAUCUACAGAAUCAUAAUUUCUCCUUAUUGCCAAACCAUAGUAAACUGUCAGCUUAUCUAUUAGCUUAGCCGUGAGUUUACCUUUCCCUGAAAAUACUUUUUUUGCAAUGUUUUUCCGCCUUUUUCAUCUGAUUCUGUAUUUUUUUUUACUAGCUCGCGGAGUCGUGAGUGCAGCUGUUACUUCGGUUCUUAAUCUACCUGCUUUUUAACACUGACGUAGCCUUACAAAUUCAGGUAUGUCUCCGAAAAUAUUUAUCGGAUUAGCUUCAAAUUUUCAGAGAAUAUACUUAAAUAUAUGUACAUUCCGAAAAUGCAAAAAAAAAAAAAAUCGAUUUUUUGAAAAUUCUAACUGCGUAUAAACCUUUAAACCUAUAUUAUACUACAUUAAACCUAUAUUAUACUAUAUUAAACCUAUAUUAUACUACAUUAACACGUUCACGCCGGCGUCGAUUUUCAGUGUUUGCGCUGUGAAAUUAAAUACCAUAAAAUACAAUAGGCAGUAGGUAUAAAGUAUCGUUUACUUAAAGAUUAAGAUAUUCUGAAGGGCCAUAAAAUCCGUAACCAUCUAAAUGAUCAUAAAAAAAUAUGGCUUAUAAAUGUUUUCAAUGAAUACAUGUUAAAUUUUCAUUCAUUAAAUUUUCAGCGUCUAAUAGCACCGUUUAAUAGCACAAUUGAAUGCGUAGUACUGCUGGUAGUACACACUGCCCAAUGAAAAAAUCUAACGCGAACCACCGGUGGUACGCGACGCCCGAUGAAAAAAUGUAGUGCUGGCCACAGGUGGUACGUGCCGGCGUGGACGUGUUAAGUGUAGAAAAACGUAGCCGUUUUUCUAGAAAUAAUCUUAUUUUUACUUUAACGAGUGCCUAGUAAGUAAUGUGCAGAUUGACUAGGUAUUUAGCAUUUUACCAAUUAGUUAAGCAUAAACAUUUAAUAUACGCCUAUAUUUACAUUUACUCGAACCUUUUUAUAUAUACCAAUUUCUUAUUACUUUUUAUUUCGAAAAGUUAUAUCUCCAUUGAAACGAUCUAAAUCAUUUUCUGUUUUUAUCUGCUAUGCUCGGAAGUUUCGAAGCAAUUGUCAGUUCUAUGUUAAUUUCCUCAGCCAAUAAGCUUCGUGGGCGUCGGUAUAAGUAUCCAAUGAGAAACAAAGUUCACAUAUCCUAAUAACUGAUUCGUUGUUGUAUGAAAGUAGCAGGUCAAAGAAGUGGGAGUAGGCAUAGGUUUGUAAAUAUCAGGAAACAGUGCUGGCCAUUUCUUUUUUACCUGUUGAAUCUUGCGUUUUAAUUUUCCAUUAGUAAGUGUGUCUCUUUUUUUAUUUUGUCAGUGAAUUUUUUUUAUUUAGA